GCUGGGUGUGGUGGCGUGCGCCUGUAAUCCCAGCUACUCAGGAGGCUGAGGCAGGAGAAUUGCUUGAACCCAGGAGGCAGAGGUUGCAGUGAGCCAAGAUCGUGCCACUGUACUCCAGCCUGGGCGACAGAGCAAGACUCCGUCUCAA
This is an unclassified non-coding RNA of Pongo abelii (Sumatran orangutan), 148 nucleotides long. It matches the Rfam family "Metazoan signal recognition particle RNA". From Rfam's summary of the family: The signal recognition particle (SRP) is a universally conserved ribonucleoprotein. NCBI's taxonomy places the organism in Eukaryota, Metazoa, Chordata, Mammalia, Primates, Hominidae. The record is from Ensembl.